GUGUUGUUAUAGUAAAUAAAUGUUUCACUAUAAAUAACAAUUUUCUUCACUUUCAAUGGAUAAUAACUAAUUCACUUCAUGUAACGAUAUCGGCUAAAUGAUACUUUGUGUACCUCAUAAAUGCUUACAGUGAGGUUUAAAGUUCGAGAAAAUUCUCUCUUCUACGACACUACUACCACACUUCUAAGUCCCUCAAGUGUAUGAGAUAUGCGCAGUCAGUUCUGCUCAGGCCCACUCAGCCUCACCAUCUCAACAUGCCGCUCAAGCCGACAUCGUAUGGUCGUCGCGUAGUACUGACUGAUUUUGAGUGAAGCCGUUGUGACUAAAAAUACUUUUUGCGUCAGCCAUUACAAUAAUCGUAAAAUUUUUAUAAAAUACAAUAUUGUGGUUCAAUUUUCUUAUUAGUGACAUAGUAUUUUACUACAUAAAGUGUAUCCAACUAUCGUUAUUAUUUCCUGCAGCAAAAAAAAUUAUAGAAAUUUUGUUCAUUUGUUUUUUCCAGUAGAAAGGUACCAAAUUAUUCUUAUAAUGAGCGGGAAUCGAGGGAUGUCGCGGACAGCAAUAUUCAAGAGGAAUAAAAAAAAACUUCAAAAUUAUAAGAAAUUGUACCCUCAGGAUAAAUUACUGCGGUUCCUUCCUGGUGGAUUUUUGGAAGAAAGAUCUUCUCUACCAUCAACAUCAUCUUCGUCACCAUCAGUCCAAUCAUUGUCAACGCUGGAAAGCACAGCAGCUCCAAUCAAUAGUGGCAG
Long non-coding RNA from Cotesia glomerata, 749 nucleotides. RefSeq lists it as uncharacterized. Lineage: Eukaryota; Metazoa; Arthropoda; Insecta; Hymenoptera; Braconidae. The record is from RefSeq and is a predicted model, not a curated record. The transcript is spliced from 3 exons.